UGAAUUAAGGUCGUACAAUAUCCCUAACACAAAGUUAAGUAUAAAACUUUCUUUCCGGUACAGUUUCGAUAUGAGUUUUAUUAGAGCCAACUUCAAAUGGACAUAUGUCAUAGAAUUUAAAGAUAUAUGGGUACCAAUACCUAUAAAAUUAAAGAUCUCCGAGUCAUCUUUCCAACGCAAUAAACCAUUCCACAAUCCGAAUUCGGAGUAAAAAGUUAUGACUUUUUUACUGAGUACUGUCCGGGCUGAAGCGGGAUUUUGCUGUAGCAAAAAUUUUGAUGGUAUUUAAAUUAGCUUCAGCCGUAUUUUAAGUCUAAAAACCUCAAAUUUCAUUCUCCAACCCUAUAGAGGUUAUUUCCCAAUGAUUAAGGUGAAAUUCUUUCGUUGAGGUAAGUUUUUCCAUUGUUUUCAUCGUUUUUUAAUCCUUUAACAUCUUAGAAUCUAUAGAAAGACUGUUAAUGGUGGAAUCCUUUUGGGAAAUACUCAUUGGUGUUUUUAAUAUAACAUAAAACUUAUUCUAAACUGUAAAUUAAAGAUUCCUAACAUGAAUUUCAUAAACUAGAUUAUGAGUUUUGAUGGUUAGGAACCUUGAAUUCUGUAAAAAUGAGACCUUUAGCAUAAAAACUCCAUUAAUGAAGAUGGGUUAAUCUUGAAAGAGCUAAUUAAUGGCUAAUUAACAUUGGGGAUUGAUAUAAAACUUGAAUUAAGGGUAGAAUUAGUGGGUUUGAAUUCCCAAGAUACUUGUUUAAAGAGUAAAUAUUUAAUUACUCUUAUUAUUGCUUGAUUUUUAGAUGGUUGAUUAUUCCAAGGCAUGAAGAAGAGAAAUAAAUUUCUUAUUGUGGCUUUCUUCAUUCAAAAGCUUGGCGUCCAGGUAGGCUAGGUUUAAUGAGUAGAAAAUUGUGUUAUUUUAUAUUUUCUUAAUUUAGAAUUGAUGGGAAAAAGCAUGUCUAGGCCAGCGAGCAUGGAGUUGAGGUGGAUAAAGACAUGAGUACUUAACUUUAAUCCCAGAAACUAUAUUAUGGAUUGAUUAUGUGAUAUUUAUGAUAUAGUGUGUUAUGUGCCUGAAAGGAGAUUGUUGUAAACGUAGUAUAUGAACAUGAUGUUUUUUUAGUUGUUCUAGUGAUGAACCUAGUUGAGUUGUAAUGGUAUAAGGUUCUAUGUAUUGUACAAUAAUAUGAUGAGGAGAUUUAUGCUAAUAUCAAAUAUUGAUGAUGAUACACUAACAACGUGGAUUGUACCAAAACAAUAACAAAAACAGUUUACAAACACAAUACAAAACCGAGACAAGUUGGAAACAAGUCCAAAAACCAAGAAUGCUACAUAAUGAUGAGAUAGUAACGUGUAUAACCACACCAACGAUUAUAAACGAUCAUAAGACUACAAUGAACAAAGGAUAGAUAGUUAGACCUUGGUUGGUAUAAUCUUAAGAACCCAAGAACAUGUGAUACUCUUCGACCCUUAACAUUACACGCAACAGUUAACCUAACUCCUACAUUUACAUAAGAGGGACUUUACCUCCUCUAAAAACCAACGUUUCUAAGCCUUGAAUGCAACACAAGUGAAAUCCAUACUUGUGAAAGCCCAGUUACAAGUUUCGGCCAUAGGGGCCUUUCUCACAAGAGAGAAGUGUUUUCAAAGUGUUAUACAACUUACAAAUAUCAUCAAAGUCUAAGACAAAAUGACCUACAAUGUUUUAUUUAUACUAGGUCACAACUAAAACUCAAAAUGACCAAGAGACCCUUUAAUGAAAAGCCUCAAAAUGCAGCCCAUGGAGUGUAGUGUAGGUACAAUUUUGGUGUGUGUUUUAGGCCCUCUUUUACAUUUUUCUUGCACACUCCAAGCUUCAGGUUCAUUACACUUUCACACGUCCAUCCUCGUAGUUGUACUUGUAUUAGAUGAGCACAGUAAUAUCUAAGGGAUAGAUGACUUGAAUUAGUGUGAUGAUUGUAUUAUGUGGAAAGAGGUAGCGGAUAAUGAUACACGUGAAUGUGCUAAUUAUAGGUGGUGAUGUUAGCACCUAAGUUGCGGAAUUUAAGAAGAUAAUGAUAUUUUUAAUAAUAAAUGAGUCAUUAAGGCUCCAAUAGUAACUUGCAUGCUUAAGUAUUAAAUUGUGAUUUAUUUUAUGAUAUUCUAAUUUUGGUAUUGAUAAAAGCAUUAUAUUUAUUGGAUGCCCAUGAGAGGCUAAAUUGGUGAUAAUGAUGGUUUAUUGAAUUGUGUCUAUUAGUGGUUUGUUUGAUAAUGAUAACUUGUAUUAAUGCCAUGAAUAACUUAUUGAUGUUUGGAUUGUUGAUGCGUGUAUAAAUGAUUAUUGAAAAUUUACUUGAUGGAAUUGUCUUAUGACUUUAAGUAUACUUGUAAACAUGGUACAUUGUGUUUUAUGCUAUGCGGUUGUGUAAAUUUGAUAUUGAUAAUACUUGUGUAUAUUGGAUCAGGUGCCACACCGACACGGAUAUAUAUAUGUUGGAUUGGGUACCACUCUGGUACAAAUAUGUAUAUGUUGGAUCGGGUACCACGUUGGUAUGGAUAUGUAUAUGUUGGAUCAGAUUCAACGCCGGUACGUAUAUGUUUAUGUUGGAUCGGGUACCACUCCGGUACGGAUAUAUUUUUGUUGAAUCGGGUACCAUGCCGGUACGGAUAUAUGUAUGUUGGAUCGGGUACCACGUUGAUACAGAUAUAUGUAUGUUGGAUCGGGUACCACACCGAUACGGAUAUGUAUAUGAUAGAUUGGGUACCACACCGGUACGAAUAUGAAUAUGGUGGAUCGGGUACCACACCGGAAUAGUACAUGAACAUAAAUUGUUCCCUGCAGGUCAUGACUAUUUGGGAAAAAAAAGUCUCAUAGCAUGUGUGUACAUGUUUGUGUUAAGUGUGUGAAUGUUUACAGGAUGGUAGAUACUCUUAAUGGUUAUGUGGCUUGUUUUUUAGCGUUAUUUGAUAUGUUAUUGUUGUCUUGUUGAUUCAUUAGGUAUUUGAUUGUGUGUUAUAUAUUUGAAAAAAUGAAAAUUUGUACUUACUUAUAUGUUGGUUGACUUGCUUCAUUUAUAUAUUUUUUAAUCGUAGCUUACCAAAAUGGCUAGUUAUCAUUCUUUAAUAUUAUAAUAGGGCAUUUCGUUGUUAGCCGGAAGUUUAGUGUGAGUUAUCUACGAUUGCAAAUUUGUUUCUGUGAAUAUGAGUAAUGAAAGAGAUAUGGUGAAUAAAGAGGAAUAGUGAUGUAUUAGCGUUGAAUUGUGGUUGAUGGUGUAAAUUAAUAAAGCUAAAGUAUGUUAGUAGCGAAUAUAAUAUUGAUGGUGUUGGAAGAGUAGUUGGAUGUUGUAACUUAUUUAGGUAAAGUUAUAAUAUUAUUUCAAUCUUAGUUGAAUUAUAUUCCAUUUAAGAUGUCAUGAUUAAUUUUCGUUAAUUCUAUUUUAUGAUUAUAUGAACUAACACGAUGGGUUGAUGAUGCCUACCAGUCAGUGUGGUUGUACUGAUCCUACUUUUCUACUUUCCUUCUUGGGGUGUAGACUGGAUGCAGGUUAGUUGCAGUUACUAGAUGGAUGACGAUAUUCAACACUAACUUCUGCACUUACUUCUUGGCAGAUGUUAGAGUCUUUGUAUAAUUUAUUUUAUUGUUAGUCUAUGUUGUAGUAGAUAACUCUUGUACAUGUCUGACCAAGUUUUGGGAUAGUAAAGGCUUUGUAAGAAGCGUUUUAAGAAAACUUUAUUUCUUAGUAUUUAGUUUACUUUAUUAUAGUUAAGUAUUUUCUUAAAAACAGAAGUGUUCCACAUAUUUUUAGUUGGGUAAUAAGGGUUCUCCUAGCUACUUAGAAUAGCGUAGGUGCCCGCAUGAUCUAUUAAUCUGGGUCGUGACAGUUGGUAUCAGAGCGUUAGGUUCACCGAUCCCACAAGUACAAGAUCAAUGUCAAAUAGAGUUUCAUAGAUUGGUGUGUAGGGCCCCACAUCCAAUCUUCAGAAGGUUAUGAGGCAUGUAGAAAUCAUUUUCCUUUCUUUUUCUCCAUCGUGCCAUCUUAAUUUUGGACUAUUAGAUUGAAUCCAAUUGGUAUCCAGAUAAUUCUAAUUGGUAUCUUAACAGAGCUCAAUUGAAAUGUAGUUAAUUCCAAUUGGUAUCUUCGUAAUUUUGAAUAAAUAUCUUGAAGAUUUUUAUUGGCAUCUGUUAAUAAGGUCUAAAAGUUAUUGUUAAUAGGUAAAGACUUGUGAAAGUUGUGAACUUAUUGAUUGCUUGUGUUUGAUAUUUGGCUAAACUUGUGUUGCUAGAUUUUUGCCAUUGUUGUGAAUUGUUUUUGUUUGAAUUUAAGUGAUAAAAAUUUACGAAGUUGUUUUUGUUGUUAAUUGUGAUGGAAUUAUUUGAUUUCUUGUUAUUGUGAAACUAGAAAUUUUAUGGUGCUUACCUUUUUUUUGUACUAUUAUACUAAUAAAAUUAAUGAUAUGAGAAUUGAGAGUAUGAUAUGAGAGCAUGAUGUCAAGAAAAGAUGGUGAAAAACUUACAUAAAUAAAAGACUGAGGUGAAAUGUGUUUUUCUGUAAUGAGGGAUUUUUGUUAAUAAUGUGGUGGAUAGAUCCUUGUGUGGUUCAAUUAUUUGAUAUUAUGUGGGGAUCCUUAUGUGGUCCGAACAUUGAGACUUAUUGAAAUUAUAAUAGGUUCCUUGUGAGGACUAGCUAAGUGACAUUAUUUUUGAGGUACUUAUGGGAAUAGAUUUUUAAUGCUUGGCAAAAUAAUGAGUUUCAAAUAAAGGUGAAAAAAAUUAGUAGAGGUUGUUGAUACCUAUAGAAUUUGAUCGAUUGGAUAACUUGUCUGGAAUGUGAUAUUGGUGAUGAGACUGUUAAUAGUCUGUAAUUGAUUUAUUUUAUUUGGCCUUGUUUAUGUAUUGGUGGUGUGGAAGCCACUCUUGAGGUAUUUACGAGUUAAGUAAAGCCCGUAAUAAAAAUAUUGUUAUAUAAAAGUAAGAAUAACUCUGUAUAUCAUAAAUUGGUAUUAGUGAUAUUGGGGUGUUUUGGCUUGACAAUGAAGUGUUUUAUUUUGGUCGAACAGAACAAAUUUUAUUUUCUUCAAACUCAUCUUUACAAACAGUUUACAUCCUUUGUCACAAAGUCUGGGACAUCUCUACAUAUAAUUUCCCUAUCCACUUUCUAUCUUUACAAGUAAUCCUACUAUGUACGAUUUGAAACUUCUAUAUUUACAAUCUUCUUUUAUCUUUUUCACUACCACCUAAGGGCUAGGGAUAUUGUUUUCCCAUAAGGCUGAAUUUCUUGCUUGCCAAAUGUGGUAGAUUAGAGAUGCGAUUACUGCCCAGAGCAUUCGUCUGCUUAUUCUUCCCAUUGCAUACCUUGAUACUCUUCUCCAAAUUCCUUUCACAUCUCUCACUUGCGGCGCUAUCCCUAGCCAUAACCGUAUUUCCGUUUAGACACAGCUUGGAGAAAUAGCAAUCGAAGAACAAAUGUUCUAUUGUUUCAGGCUCUGCAUCACAUAUGAGACAGGAUUUGGUGUUGCAAACUCCCUACUGCAUUAGUUUCACUCGUGUCUGCACUCUUUCUUACAUCACCAACCAGCAUAUGAAGCUAUGUUUGGGAUGUUGGUUACAUUCCAUACACCCCUCCACCAUAGCCAGUCUUGCAAUCUACCCCUCUUCCAGUUAUACCCACUCUUUAUAGAGUAAACGCCUCCUGCUUUCAGCAAAUCAUUCUGUACAUAUCCAGGUAGAAACUUAUCUUUUAUGGAACAUAUUUUUUCUAGUACCAACUACAAUCCUUUAGUGCUUUAUAAUCUCUCAAAGACCCCCUUUAAAUAGACACGAUCUACCUAUUUCACCCAUAAACUAUCAGUGUUGUUUGCUACAUUCCACACAUGUUUUAAAAUAGCAGCUUCAUUCCAUGUUAUGCAAUUAGUGAUACCUAAUCCUCCCUCCAUUUUAUCUCUGCAAAUCAUGUCCCAUGCUAUCACCGGGGCUCUAUUUGUGUGUAACCUUUCACUCUAUAAAAAAUUUCUCUAUAUGGAUAUAAUAUUCUUCAAGACACCUUUUGGUAUUAGGAAUAUAGUGCACCAAUAUGUAUGUAGGUGCAUCAAGACAGAGUUUACCAGCUGCGAUUUUCCUGCAUACGAUAGAUUUUUGCUCCCCAAAAUAUGUACCCUGCAAGUCAGUUUCUCUACCAGAAUUUCAUAGUCCAUAGUAGUAAUUCUUUUGGGUGAUAUAGGAACCCCCAAGUAUUUGAAAGGCAUCUUGCUGGCUGUAUAACCAGUCAUCUCACAUAUGUACUUCAACACAUUUGCAUUCAUGUUUGCAGAGAAUAUGUUUGAUUUGCUGGCAUUUGUGGUUAAACCUGAGGAAGCUGAGAAAGUACUUAAACCCCUUAGUAUCAAAACUAUAGGUUCCAGCUCCCCUUUACAAAAGACUAACAUAUCAUCAAUGAAGCAUAGGUGGUUUAGCUUCAAGCUUUUGCACUUUGAGUGAAAUUCAAACCCUUUUAUAGUAUCCACCCAGUUCAUGAUUCUUGAGAAGUACUCCGUGCAUAUUACAAACAGCAAUGGGGACAAUGGAUCUCCUUGUCUCAAACCUCUUUUCCCUUGUAUGUGUCCAUAUUCUCCACCAUUAAUAGCAAUUGUGUAUUAGGGUGUUGUGACGCACUCCAUGAUCAACUUAAUAAACCCAUAAGGAAAGUUCAGCCAAUACUACAUUUCUUCCACAAACUUCCAUUCCACAUUAUCAUCAAUUUUAAUCAAACAGCUCUUAGUGGUAGCUAGCCUGUUAUAUAGCCACAGCAAAUCUUUACAAAUCAUAAUAUUUUGUACUAUGGAUCUUCCAGCUACAAAAGCACUUUGAGUGUUGGAUAUGAUUUCAGGUAACACUUUCUGCAAUCUUUUACAUACCAUCUUUGAGAUUAUCUUGUAUAAUUUGUUGCAGCAAGAUAUAGGUCUGUAAUCCAUCACUGAUUCUCCAUGUAUACUCUUAGGGAUUAAUAUUAUAACAGUGUUGUUUAUUCCUUUUAAUAGCUGACCAGUUUUGAAGAAUUCUAGCACCCCUUCUGUUACAUCACUCCCAAUUAUAUCCCAGGCAUCCUUGUAGAAUUUUCUUUCAUAUCCAUCUGGCGCUGGGGCUUUAUCUCCGUCAAUCGACCAUAAUGCCUCUUUAACCUCUUUUGCAGUAUAUGGCUGGUCUAGCAGGUCCCUUUGUUCACCUGAUAUCCUUGGCCCUUUCAUGAUGAUAUUUCUAUUUGUACUGAUCCUUUAGUUCUUUUUGGUACCCAACAGCACGGUAUAGUAAUUAAUGAAAGCUUUUCUAAUUGCAUCUAUAUCCUUCUGCCAAUACCCAUUUUCAUCCAUUACUGUUAAGAUUCUGUUUUUUGCCUUCUUCCUUUCAAUGCAUUGUCAAAGAAGGCAGUGUUUUGGUCUCCAUCUCUUAACUAUUUCACCUUGCUGUUUUGCUGCAAGAACUAGUUUUGUACAAUCUGCAGCUAUGCAUAUUCUUUGGAUAACAUCGUUUCUUCCAUAAUUAGAUUUUCGUGGGCCUUGUUGUAUCUUUAUUUGACAUUCACAUUCUUGCUGCUUUCGUCCUCUGUUCUAUAGCACUGAACCUCUCUUCAUAUAGCUUUUGCAAUAUAUGUUUCAAUCUAUUCAGUUUCCCAACCACUUGAAAUAGCUUCCGUCCUCUAGUUGCACCCAACCAGCUGUUCUUCACCCUUUUCUUGAAAUCAGGGGCAAGGCUCCACAUGUUAAAAUAUCGAAAAUGGGGUUUUUUUGCAUUGUUCUUGUAACGCCCCGGAAAACGGGUCCCGGAGCGUCACACAGUGCUUGAGGCUACGAGUAGCCCCAAGCCAAUCCUUUGAGCCAUUUUUAUUCAGUUCAACACAAAUCAACGGAGUUUCCAUAAAUAACCAUCAAAUAUAAACAGAGUAAUCAUUAUCCAAGAAUAAAAGAAUUUCAGAAAGAUAACAAAAUACGACUUAUUAGUCAACUCCCAACAUCUAUACUAGUCUGACAAGCCUCUAAGAAAAUCAAUAAAACCAGGAGCCAUUGAGACAUGCCCCAACUAAAUCAUACUUAGUUAUCAAAUGUAAACAAUUCCGUGAAACCAACAUCAGACAUCACGUCCUCGGAACAUGAGGACUCACCACGACAAAGGAUGUAGAACAGCGUGCCCUAAGAAUCACUAUUGAACCUGGAACUGAGCACCUGAACCUACAGUCCGAGAAAAUGCAGCCCACAUCCGAAGAUGUGGGUCAGUACCAUGGAAAGGAACCGAGUAUAUGGGGGUGUAUGCAGUUUUAUAAACAUCAUCAUCAUAAAUAUUUAUAAGAAAUAUGCAGGAUGUAUGAAAGAUUCACAUAGCCCGAAGAAAAUCAUCAUAAUCAUGAGACGAUGAAAUAAAUACAAUAACACAUGUGAUUCAUCAUAUAAUUUGUCAAUCACUUUCAGUUCAUCAAGAAUAUCAAUUCUCAUAAUGUAAAUAUCAUUUAAAUUUUUCGAAAGAAUAACUUUCACAAUUCCACUUUCAAAUCACUUCACCAUUCACCAUAGACACAAGGAAACACACACACUUCUUGAAGUUCUUGAACUAGGAACUUGGAAUCUUGAAUAAAUUUGCAGAAUUAAUGGUGAACUUUGGAGGUUCUUGAAGUUCUUGAACUAGGAACUUGGAAUCUUGAAUAAAUUUGCAGAAUUAAUGGUGAACUUUGGAGGUUCUUGAAGUUCUUGAACUAGGAACUUGGAAUCUUGAAUAAAUUUGCAGAAUUAAUGGUGAACUUUGGAGGUUCUUGAAGUUCUUGAACUAGGAACUUGGAAUCUUGAAUAAAUUUGCAGAAUUAAUGGUGAACUUUGGAGGUUCUUGAAGUUCUUGAACUAGGGACUUGGAAUCUUGAAUAAAUUUGCAGAAUUAAUGGUGAACUUUGGAGGUUCUUGAAGUUCUUGAACUAGGAACUUGGAAUCUUGAAUAAAUUUGCAGAAUUAAUGGUGAACUUUGGAGGUUCUUGAAGUUCUUGAACUAGGAACUUGGAAUCUUGAAUAAAUUUGUAGAAUUAAUGGUGAACUUUGGAGGUUCUUGAAGUUCUUGAACUAGGGACUUGGAAUCUUGAAUAAAUUUGCAGAAUUAAUGGUGAACUUUGGAGGUUCUUGAAGUUCUUGAACUAGGAACUUGGAAUCUUGAAUAAAUUUGCAGAAUUAAUGGUGAACUUUGGAGGUUCUUGAAGUUGGAUAUAGGAGCUUAGGAUUUUCUUUUUGAGGGAAUUUGAUGAAAUAUAACAUAUAAUGCUUCUAAUAGGCUUUAAUAUAGGGUUUGGACGGAUUUUGGGUGAGGAUGAAUGACCAAAACGCCCCUAAAAAUUAAAUAAUUCUCGAAUCUGUCCUUUGGUGGACUGUUUUAAUAGUCUGAAAUAGAUCAACCAUAACGUUUUACUCCGAUAUUCAAAUUGGAUGAAACCAAUUUCAUUAGAAAGAGGACUCUCAUCUCUUUCCGUUGAUAUAUAGUAUAUCACCCAAAUCAUUGUGUACGAGGGAUUAUGAUCGUUUGAAGUUGACCCAAAAUUUCGCUUUUGAUAGGCUGAAGUAGAUCGACCAUAACUUUUUGCUCCGAUAGACAAAUUGGAUGAAACCAAUUUCAUUGGAAAGAGGACUCGUAGAGCUUUUCAUUAAUAUAUAGUAGAUCUCCCAGAUCAUUAUGUACAAGGAAUUAUGAUCAUUUAAAGUUGGAGCCAAAAUACGUCAGGCCUCAGUACUUUUUCCUGCACGUUUUACUGUUCACUACUAUUUACGGUUCAAUCGGAAUGUUCAUAAAUCGUCGCUCAGGUGUCCGUUUUGGAUGAUCCACAUAUCGUUGGAAAGAUUUUUCUAUACUAUACGCAAUGGUGGGUCAUAAUCUAAGACAUUCAGCACGGAAAAAUUUAUAAUUCAUUCUAGAAGAUAGAACCCAACACGUUUACGCACAAAAUUUCAACAAAAAAUUUUCUGGGGUAUUACAGUUCUCCCCUGCUCCCAUUUAAUAAUCACUAGGCAGUGAUCAUAUAACCCCCCAGGUAAAAAUUGAGCUUCAGAUGCAGGUAAUUUAGUCAUCCAGUCAUUGUUUACUAGUACUCUAUCAAUCUUGUUGUAGACUCUAUUUGCCCCUUCUUGUUUAUUAUUCCAUGUGAAAAAAUUUCCUGACAAUUUCAGAUCUUUUAGUCCACGACAAUGAAAUGUUUGACGUGUGAAAAAUAUUGAGUUAGUGAUUGCUUGGGCAUAAGUUUUAGCUGUGGAUUUAUGCAUUAGGAAAAAUCUUGAGAAGAUAAAUUAUUGUUGACUUAACCUAGUGGCUGAAUUAUGCAUAUACAUGUCCUGUAGAGUUAGCAGAUAUAUUACUUUUUUAGAGGUUAGUAAUCCCCAUGAUGAUGGAAAUGCAAAAUUAAAUAACUUAGUUACACCUAUAAAAUAAUUAAGAAUGACCCUGAAUAUGGAAAUAAGUGCAUUGUUAAAUGGAAUGAUUGAUCUUUUCUUGGGUGAUACUUGGUGGAUAUUGCUUGUUGAGUGAUUAAGGUAUGAUGAUUAGAUGGAUAUUAACAAUGUUGUGAAGGAGAAUGUGUUGUAGGCUCUAAUUCUGUGGAAUCUCUAUGGCUAAUAGUUGUAAGUUUGUAAUGAGUGAGAGGUUGUGUUGUCACUAUAUAUAGUAGUAAACACUAAUCUUGAAACAGUGAGUGAUCUUGAGGUAAAAGGGAUAGUGGUUGUGAGAUGUUGAAGCUAGCUUUAUAAAAUAAAUUUAGUAGUCUUGAUUGAGUGCAUGCGAGUACCUAAGUUAUGUGACUUAUAAAUGGUGUGGUGACUUGCAUAUGAUCAAAAUGUAGAUUCUCCAUGGGAUAGUCUUGGCUAAAAAUCGAGUCAGGUGUCUCAGGGAGAACCUGUGUAUUGGAUAGAUUAGAUGUGACUUAUCUAGUGUUGAAAAUUUGAGUAGGAGAUUCAUGUAGCAUCUCGUAGCACUUUUCAGAAUUAAAUUUGGGGCUCUAGAGCUUCGGUAGAUAAAAAAAAGAAGGUAUUUUUGAAUGUUUAUCUUCUUCAAGGUGAAUCUUUUAACCAUCUUUAUCGUGCUUUCAUUAAGGUCAAGUUCAGACUUAGGCCGUUGAAAGCAGAAUAAAUGAUUUGUGUGUAAAUAUUUGACUCCGCAUCUUCAUAUUUUGAAAAGCUUUAAUAGAAUGAUUGAGUAUAGAAUGUGGUUGGUCGAUAAGGAUAUCGAGCAAGUGAAUAGGGUGCACUAUAGGCAACUUUAUUAGUAAUGUCUUUCUAAUUCCAACCUUGUAUUUUUCUCCACUAAAUGUCCAUUCGGGGAUGAACGGAUGGUAAAUUGAUAUCUAAUUGUAAGGACCCAUUUUGUCGUUAAUAAAUUAUUCUUGAUAAAUUCAUGAAAUUUCUUAAUUUUCAUUCCUCAAUAUUAACUUGUGUCCAAAAUAGCCAAUAUUUUAUUUAUUACAUUACCUCAAACUUUUCGGCAAAGAUUGUAGCCUUCAGAUGUGUCUAGAUAGACUCAAGCCCAAUGAAUUUAAUUAUUCAUAAGUGAUAAUAUCAAUAUUUUAGUUUGAAAGUUUUUUAGGUGUGAAUUAAGGUCGUACAAUAUCCCUAACACAAAGUUAAGUAUAAAACUUUUCUUUCUGAUAUAGUUUCGAUAUGGGUUUUAUUAGAGCCAACUUUGAACAAACAUAUCUCAUAGAAUAUAAAUAUCUAGGAGUCUCAAUACCUAUCAAAUUAAAGAUAUCGGUGUCCUCUUUCUAACGCAACAAAACGUUCCACAAUCCGAAUUCGGAGUAAAAUGUUAUGACUGUUUAACUAAGUACAAUCUGGGCU
RNAcentral lists this long non-coding RNA (11787 nucleotides) under Capsicum annuum. RNAcentral's name for it is "long non-coding RNA (CANN_LNC002528)". Lineage: Eukaryota; Viridiplantae; Streptophyta; Magnoliopsida; Solanales; Solanaceae. The record is from RNAcentral.